This 1478-nucleotide long non-coding RNA is filed under the name Anser cygnoides (Swan goose). RNAcentral describes it as "lncRNA (ENSACDG00005016221.1)". Lineage: Eukaryota; Metazoa; Chordata; Aves; Anseriformes; Anatidae. The record is from RNAcentral.
UCUGGGGACAGGGAUCGCUGCGUGUGGAGAAGGCAUGCAUGGCACGACAGGGCUCAGAUCUUUGUACCAGCCUGCAGCUGCUUCUGUGACAAGUGCAGCAUCUAUGAAGCCUGCUCAUCUGUGGAAAGCACAAAGCUACUAACCAGUGCUAAAGUUCUGGCAGAGAGGACAGUAACUAACCUUCUGAUGUUUGAGAGGAGGGCAAGUUAAAGACUACCAGCAACCUAGAAGAGAAAGUUAAUGUAAAGCAUGGAGGAGAGCAAGGCAACACUCCAGUUCUCCAAGAAUAAACAAAGUAUAAAAGCAAACUCGAGAAUUACUGACAAACCUAAAAGAUAUUUCAAAUGGUGGGAAGAUGGCAUCCAGCUGAUAUAAGAGAAGGAACGAACAACCCUGCAAACCACUGGCAUGUGUACAUCGACAUCCAAAAAUACACCCGGACAGCGCAUCUUAAAACUGCGUGUGAGAGAAGGAGGAUGUCUCUCCCCAAACCUUGUAUUCUGCUGGACCUGAUGCUUGGGCCUGUGGCAGCGCUGCUCUGUGUCAGGAGCCUAACCCCAUGCAAAGCCUCUGAAGCUGCCACCCUGCAAGGACUGAAGUUUUGGAAAACAUUUUGCUUCCAGAUAUGAUACUGUAUUUAUAACUAAUAUGAUACAAAAUAUGAGUGGAGGGAAAACAAUGCAAUUAUACUUGAGGGUUUCUUAUACUAUCAUGUCGUCACGUAAAAUUAAUAGAGAGGUGUUUCUGAUUGUGCUAAUGCAGAAUAGCAGAGAUGGAAAUCCUGUUCUGUCAAUUCUCUCUAAUAGAGCAUUGUUCCCUAUGGCACAUUAUUCACUGCUCUGAUUACUGCAGCUCUGAAUGACUCAGUUUCCGCAUUUCCUUAAAAGAUUACUCAAUCUGUUAAAUAGGUUCAGGACCAAGAGUCUGUUUCCGCACUCAGUUUUAUCCAAUUAAUUCUAACGAUUGGCAACAAUUCUGGACAACUUUGCUUGUAUUGUUUUAUUAUCUUUGUUUUGAGACUGUCAAUGCCCUAUGAGAGAACCUCAUGGAAAAAGACGAUCCCACCUCUAACACUGACAUUUUAAUUCACCAUGUGUGAAGCAAAAAAAAUCAUUGGGUUCUUUCAAUGUGAAUGCUAUACUGUGUGCUCUUAUUCAGUAGGCUUUUUUCCCCUCUAUCACCUUUCAAAUAAUAUCUUUUCACAGAAUUCCAAGUGUCCCAGUGGAAACAUGCUGUGGAUCAUUUUUCUCCCAGUUACUUUACCUAUCCUUUUUCUAGGCCAAAUCUCUUCCAGCGUUGUUUUUUUUAAAUAAUUUCAUUGUAAAGGCUUACAGACAUAACAUGGUGGCAUGCAGAUGUGGAGUAGCAUGAGAUAGUUGUUCCUGGAUUAAUGGUGGGCGCAGGAGGAAAUGGGGUGAGUGAGUCCUUGUUUCACUGCUGUCAAUAAAGGGUCAAUAUUCAAGGAAUUAAAGGGCUGA